UGCACAUGGCUUCCUGACUGCAGCUAAUGAAAGGAAAUUCCGUCAUCAGCACACAGAAAUCGGGGGAUUUCAGGCUGCAGCCACAGCCACCACUCCCUGAGCAGUGCUACCUAUCUGUCUCCGUCUAGGCAGCCCUCUGGCCCCAGGCACCCCGCGGACCCUGCCAGAGAUGUCUUCUUUUGGCUGCUGGGGCCUCCCCACAGCCCUUCUCACCCUGCUGUGCUGUUCAGGAUCUUCUGAGGUAACAUUCGAGGUUUACGUAUGGCCUGAGAGGUUGGCGGUUGAGGCCAUAGGGUCCAGGAAAGUCAACUGCAGCACCAGCUGUGUCAAGCCUGAAUCAGGUGGCCUGGAGACCUUCCUGUCUAAGCAUUUGGUGGACCAACAGCCUCAGUGGCAGCAGUACUUGAUCUCAAACAUUUCUCAGGAUGCGGAACUCAUUUGCUACUUUUCCUGUGCCGGGAAGACACUGACAAAGAGUCUCAACAUCAGCGUGUACCAGCCCCCAAAGCAGGUCACACUGAAGCUGCAGCCCACAAGGGUGGCCUUGGGCACAUCCUUCACCAUUGAGUGCAGGGUGGCUGCUGUAGAGCCCCUUGAGAGCCUCACCCUCACCUUGCUCCGUGGCCAGGAGACUCUGCACAACCAGACCUUCGUGGGGGCAGCACCUGCCCCCCAGGAAGCCGCCACCACAUUCAUCAGCAUGGCUCAGAGAGAAGGUGGUCCCCUCAACUUUUCCUGCCAGGCCGAGCUGGACCUGCGGUCUAGAGGCGGGGACAUCAUUCGCAGUGUCUCGGAGCCCCAGGUCCUCCAAGUCUAUGGUCCCAGCCUGGAUCCUGACUCUUCUAGAAGUCAGGAGAGCUCAACUAGUUGCUUGGCCAUUAUCAAGCUUCGUGGCCUUGACCAAGGCAACCUGCUCUCUCUGUCCUUGACUCCUCUCCAUAUCGAGAGGUUUGGCCUGCCUUUCCCUGGGGUCUCCAAGUCCUGCUGUUCCAUGACUGAGUGGCCAGUGUCUGCUGUCUUUGGGGAGCUUGCCUGAAGCUCACUUGGCUCUGCCUGAGGAGGGCCAUGAGCUGGUCCCGGGACUGCUGGCCGGGGGCAUCUGCCCUAACCAUCUCACAGAGGUCUGGCUAGUGACUGGAGCCUGGGCCACUUUUCUUCUAGAUGCCACUCUGAAGGCAGACACCACACUUCACUCCUCUUGGCAAGCAGGAGCCCGUGCAAGACAGCCAGAUGGUCAUCAUCGUCACAGUCGUGUCAGUUCUGCUGUUUUUAUUUGUGACAUCCAUCCUGCUCUGCUUUAUCAUCAG
Heterocephalus glaber (naked mole-rat) is the source of this 1307-nucleotide RNA transcript. It is a transcript of the gene named intercellular adhesion molecule 2, with no coding region annotated. Lineage: Eukaryota; Metazoa; Chordata; Mammalia; Rodentia; Bathyergidae. The record is from RefSeq and is a predicted model, not a curated record.